RNAcentral lists this long non-coding RNA (658 nucleotides) under Schizosaccharomyces pombe (fission yeast). RNAcentral describes it as "centromeric lncRNA". The record is from RNAcentral. Lineage: Eukaryota; Fungi; Ascomycota; Schizosaccharomycetes; Schizosaccharomycetales; Schizosaccharomycetaceae.
UUUCGAUGGUAGUGAAGCUUUAAAAAAAAGAAGGAAUAGCAUACCGUCAAGUCGUUAGUUGAUGGGUAGGGUUGUUAGCCUAAUUAUGAGUUUUAUUUGUAAAAUAGGUUUAGGUUUUAGUUUUAGUUUUAAAUUAUUAGUCCAAUCAUGAGUUGAGCUGCUAGUUUAGGCGUGCGUUGACCUUUUAGCUUAGGUGUAUUGUCACGGUUUGGUUUUCAUAUCUCUGCGCCGCCUAUAUUAGCAAACAGUUGACAUAGAAUUCACAACAAUAACAAAUUAAAAAUGCAUCAUCCUGUAAUUAAAAGAAGGUAUAUUGAUGCAUCCUUUGCGUGAAUCAGACACGUAGAAUCAUGUUUCUCUCAUGACAAAGAGCACUUAUAGUAGCAUAUCUAGAAUUUUUCUCUCAGUUUUAACUUUCUUCGGUCUCGGUUUUUCCCUUGACAAAGCUGAUAAUAUAUCAUGUACAAUCAGGCAACACAUUUAUUUAGUCAACGUUCAAGUCCAAAAGCAACUUUAUGUCGUACUAAGAUACAGUUUUGCGAAGCGACAUAGAUCUCAUAACGCCUCAAUGUUUUAUUAGUAAUUCUUCGUGAUCACACUACCUGUGUAAAAUGGAUGAAGAGAAACGAGCUUUAAGCAGUAAUAACGUGUGCGCUAA